CCGUAACUAUAACGGUCCUAAGGUAGCGAAAUUCCUUGUCGGGUAAGUUCCGACCUGCACGAAUGGCGUAAUGAUGGGGGCGCUGUCUCCACCCGAGACUCAGUGAAAUCGAAAUCGCAGUGAAGAUGCUGUGUACCCGCGGCUAGACGGAAAGACCCCGUGAACCUUUACUAUAGCUUCACAGUGGACUUUGAACCUGUUUGUGUAGGAUAGCUGGGAGACUUUGAAGCAGUGACGCUAGUCAUUGUGGAGUCGUCCUUGAAAUACCAGCCUGGCAUGUUUGAGGUUCUAACCUGGGUCCCUUAUCGGGAUCGGGGACAUUGUGUGGUGGGUAGUUUGACUGGGGCGGUCUCCUCCCAAAGAGUAACGGAGGAGCACAAAGGUACCCUCAGCACGGUCGGACAUCGUGCAACGAGCGUAAAGGUAGAAGGGUGCUUGACUGCGAGACUUACAAGUCGAGCAGGUGCGAAAGCAGGUCUUAGUGAUCCGGUGGUUCUGUAUGGAAGGGCCAUCGCUCAACGGAUAAAAGGUACUCCGGGGAUAACAGGCUGAUACCGCCCAAGAGUUCAUAUCGACGGCGGUGUUUGGCACCUCGAUGUCGGCUCAUCACAUCCUGGGGCUGAAGUCGGUCCCAAGGGUAUGGCUGUUCGCCAUUUAAAGUGGUACGCGAGCUGGGUUUAGAACGUCGUGAGACAGUUCGGUCCCUAUCUGCCGUGGGCGUUGGAGAUUUGAGAGGAGCUGCUCCUAGUACGAGAGGACCGGAGUGGACGAACCUCUGGUGUUCCGGUUGUCACGCCAGUGGCAUUGCCGGGUAGCUACGUUCGGACGGGAUAACCGCUGAAAGCAUCUAAGCGGGAAGCCUCCCUCAAGAUGAGAUCUCCCUGGGAACUUGAUUCCCCUGAAGGGCCGUUGAAGACCACAACGUUGAUAGGCUGGGUGUGGAAGCGUUGUAAGGCGUGAAGCUAACCAGUACUAAUUGCCCGUGAGGCUUGACUAU
Molecule: ribosomal RNA, 997 nt
Filed under: seawater metagenome
Description: bacterial LSU rRNA
Rfam family: Bacterial large subunit ribosomal RNA
Source: RNAcentral